ACAUGCCUACAUCAUAGCAUUAAUGCAUUGGAUCCCAUUAGAUAUCUGGAGUUAAGUGAUCUCGGGAUAGAGUAAUACUGGGAUGGGUGACCACCUAAGAAGUCCUAGUGUUUUACAUGCA
This is a non-coding RNA of Picea glauca (white spruce), 121 nucleotides long. The record is from Rfam. Lineage: Eukaryota; Viridiplantae; Streptophyta; Pinopsida; Pinales; Pinaceae.